This 72-nucleotide transfer RNA is filed under the name Friedmanniomyces endolithicus. RNAcentral's name for it is "tRNA-Glu". It matches the Rfam family "tRNA". Rfam says of the family: Transfer RNA (tRNA) molecules are approximately 80 nucleotides in length. Their secondary structure includes four short double-helical elements and three loops (D, anti-codon, and T loops). Lineage: Eukaryota; Fungi; Ascomycota; Dothideomycetes; Mycosphaerellales; Teratosphaeriaceae. The record is from RNAcentral.
UCCUCAAUAGUCUAUUGGUUAGGAUAUGGCCCUCUCAAGGCCGAGAGCGGGGUUCAAUUCCCCGUUGAGGAA